AAGGACGUGCUAAUCUGCGAUAAGCGUCGGUGAGGUGAUAUGAACCGUUAUAACCGGCGAUUUCCGAAUGGGGAAACCCAGUGUGUUUCGACACACUAUCAUUAACUGAAUCCAUAGGUUAAUGAGGCGAACCGGGGGAACUGAAACAUCUAAGUACCCCGAGGAAAAGAAAUCAACCGAGAUUCCCCCAGUAGCGGCGAGCGAACGGGGAGGAGCCCAGAGCCUGAAUCAGUGUGUGUGUUAGUGGAAGCGUCUGGAAAGGCGUGCGAUACAGGGUGACAGCCCCGUACACAAAAAUGCACAUAUUGUGAGCUCGAUGAGUAGGGCGGGACACGUGGUAUCCUGUCUGAAUAUGGGGGGACCAUCCUCCAAGGCUAAAUACUCCUGACUGACCGAUAGUGAACCAGUACCGUGAGGGAAAGGCGAAAAGAACCCCGGCGAGGGGAGUGAAAAAGAACCUGAAACCGUGUACGUACAAGCAGUGGGAGCCUCUUAAUGGGGUGACUGCGUACCUUUUGUAUAAUGGGUCAGCGACUUAUAUUCUGUAGCAAGGUUAACCGAAUAGGGGAGCCGAAGGGAAACCGAGUCUUAACUGGGCGUUAAGUUGCAGGGUAUAGACCCGAAACCCGGUGAUCUAGCCAUGGGCAGGUUGAAGGUUGGGUAACACUAACUGGAGGACCGAACCGACUAAUGUUGAAAAAUUAGCGGAUGACUUGUGGCUGGGGGUGAAAGGCCAAUCAAACCGGGAGAUAGCUGGUUCUCCCCGAAAGCUAUUUAGGUAGCGCCUCGUGAAUUCAUCUCCGGGGGUAGAGCACUGUUUCGGCAAGGGGGUCAUCCCGACUUACCAACCCGAUGCAAACUGCGAAUACCGGAGAAUGUUAUCACGGGAGACACACGGCGGGUGCUAACGUCCGUCGUGAAGAGGGAAACAACCCAGACCGCCAGCUAAGGUCCCAAAGUCAUGGUUAAGUGGGAAACGAUGUGGGAAGGCCCAGACAGCCAGGAUGUUGGCUUAGAAGCAGCCAUCAUUUAAAGAAAGCGUAAUAGCUCACUGGUCGAGUCGGCCUGCGCGGAAGAUGUAACGGGGCUAAACCAUGCACCGAAGCUGCGGCAGCGACACUAUGUGUUGUUGGGUAGGGGAGCGUUCUGUAAGCCUGUGAAGGUGGCCUGUGAGGGUUGCUGGAGGUAUCAGAAGUGCGAAUGCUGACAUAAGUAACGAUAAAGCGGGUGAAAAGCCCGCUCGCCGGAAGACCAAGGGUUCCUGUCCAACGUUAAUCGGGGCAGGGUGAGUCGACCCCUAAGGCGAGGCCGAAAGGCGUAGUCGAUGGGAAACAGGUUAAUAUUCCUGUACUUGGUGUUACUGCGAAGGGGGGACGGAGAAGGCUAUGUUGGCCGGGCGACGGUUGUCCCGGUUUAAGCGUGUAGGCUGGUUUUCCAGGCAAAUCCGGAAAACCAAGGCUGAGGCGUGAUGACGAGGCACUACGGUGCUGAAGCGACAAAUGCCCUGCUUCCAGGAAAAGCCUCUAAGCAUCAGGUAACAUCAAAUCGUACCCCAAACCGACACAGGUGGUCAGGUAGAGAAUACCAAGGCGCUUGAGAGAACUCGGGUGAAGGAACUAGGCAAAAUGGUGCCGUAACUUCGGGAGAAGGCACGCUGAUAUGUAGGUGAAGCGACUUGCUCGUGGAGCUGAAAUCAGUCGAAGAUACCAGCUGGCUGCAACUGUUUAUUAAAAACACAGCACUGUGCAAACACGAAAGUGGACGUAUACGGUGUGACGCCUGCCCGGUGCCGGAAGGUUAAUUGAUGGGGUUAGCGGCAACGCGAAGCUCUUGAUCGAAGCCCCGGUAAACGGCGGCCGUAACUAUAACGGUCCUAAGGUAGCGAAAUUCCUUGUCGGGUAAGUUCCGACCUGCACGAAUGGCGUAAUGAUGGCCAGGCUGUCUCCACCCGAGACUCAGUGAAAUUGAACUCGCUGUGAAGAUGCAGUGUACCCGCGGCAAGACGGAAAGACCCCGUGAACCUUUACUAUAGCUUGACACUGAACAUUGAGCCUUGAUGUGUAGGAUAGGUGGGAGGCUUUGAAGUGUGGACGCCAGUCUGCAUGGAGCCGACCUUGAAAUACCACCCUUUAAUGUUUGAUGUUCUAACGUUGGCCCGUAAUCCGGGUUGCGGACAGUGUCUGGUGGGUAGUUUGACUGGGGCGGUCUCCUCCUAAAGAGUAACGGAGGAGCACGAAGGUUGGCUAAUCCUGGUCGGACAUCAGGAGGUUAGUGCAAUGGCAUAAGCCAGCUUGACUGCGAGCGUGACGGCGCGAGCAGGUGCGAAAGCAGGUCAUAGUGAUCCGGUGGUUCUGAAUGGAAGGGCCAUCGCUCAACGGAUAAAAGGUACUCCGGGGAUAACAGGCUGAUACCGCCCAAGAGUUCAUAUCGACGGCGGUGUUUGGCACCUCGAUGUCGGCUCAUCACAUCCUGGGGCUGAAGUAGGUCCCAAGGGUAUGGCUGUUCGCCAUUUAAAGUGGUACGCGAGCUGGGUUUAGAACGUCGUGAGACAGUUCGGUCCCUAUCUGCCGUGGGCGCUGGAGAACUGAGGGGGGCUGCUCCUAGUACGAGAGGACCGGAGUGGACGCAUCACUGGUGUUCGGGUUGUCAUGCCAAUGGCACUGCCCGGUAGCUAAAUGCGGAAGAGAUAAGUGCUGAAAGCAUCUAAGCACGAAACUUGCCCCGAGAUG
This 2729-nucleotide ribosomal RNA is filed under the name Escherichia coli. RNAcentral describes it as "partial 23S ribosomal RNA". It matches the Rfam family "Bacterial large subunit ribosomal RNA". The record is from RNAcentral. Lineage: Bacteria; Pseudomonadati; Pseudomonadota; Gammaproteobacteria; Enterobacterales; Enterobacteriaceae.